Cydia fagiglandana is the source of this 537-nucleotide long non-coding RNA. RefSeq lists it as uncharacterized. NCBI's taxonomy places the organism in Eukaryota, Metazoa, Arthropoda, Insecta, Lepidoptera, Tortricidae. The record is from RefSeq and is a predicted model, not a curated record. The transcript is spliced from 2 exons.
AGUAACGAGUGAGAACGUGUGUCCUGUCCACAAAAAAAUAUUUUAUUUAAUGAUUUCUUUGGAUUUUUGGAGAGAUGCCGCGGGAGCGUCAAUUUGCUCAAACUAUCGAUUCCAGCUCCAAUAAUGAGGAAUUUGCCGCCGAAAACGAGGAUGAAGAAAACGGCCUCUGCAUUUAUUGCAAUGAUCUUUAUUAGCGGUCUAAACCGGGAGUAAGCUGGUUAAGAUGCAUGAGUUGUUUUCGUUGGGCUCACGCUUCUUGUGCUGAUGUCUCAAAGAAGUCUAAAAGAUUUAUUUGCGAGCUUUGUUCCUGAAUUUUUGGUAUGUCAUUAUACCCAUAUUUAGUGUGUCAUUUUGUCCAUACUAUAUGGACAAAAUGGUUUUUUUGACUCGUCCAUUUAUUUCUUAAUAUUUAUUUUGAUAUAGUUCCUAUUCAAUUAAAAGACUGUAUUACUAGUAGUCAAUGAACCUAAGAUGAGUUUCAAUGUAUGAGACUGAUUAUAAUUACAAUAAAUAAAGAAAUAUGAUUCAAAAUCAAAA